UACGGAGGGGGCUAGCGUUGUUCGGAAUUAUUGGGCGUAAAGGGCGCGUAGGCGGCCGAAUAAGUCUGACGUGAAAUCCCCCGGCCCAACCGGGGAACUGCGUUUGAUACUGUUUGGCUCGAGUCCGGGAGAGGGUAGUGGAAUUCCCAGUGUAGCGGUGAAAUGCGUAGAUAUUGGGAGGAACACCGGUGGCGAAGGCGGCUACCUGGACCGGUACUGACGCUGAGGCGCGAAAGCUAGGGUAGCAAACAGG
This 253-nucleotide ribosomal RNA is filed under the name uncultured bacterium. Its description in RNAcentral is "partial 16S ribosomal RNA". It matches the Rfam family "Bacterial small subunit ribosomal RNA", at positions 524 to 776 of the family's 1533-position model. The record is from RNAcentral.